CCAAUAGCGUAUAUUAAGGUUGCUGCGGUUAAAAAGCUCGUAGUUGAAUUUCGGGAUUGAUGCAUCGGUCGUGCCUUAAGGGGUAUGAACUGGUGUAGCCAAUUUCUUACCUUCUGGUGAAUUGUGAUGUCCUCCUUAAUUGGGUGUUUCAAUGAACUAGGACUUUUUACUUUGAAAAAAUUAGAGUGUUUAAAGCAGGCAUUAUUUGCUUGAAUACAUUAGCAUGGAAUAAUAAAAUAGGACAAUGAUUCUAUUUUGUUGGUUUCUAGGAUCACUGUAAUGGUUAAUAGGGAUAGUUGGGGGCAUUAGUAUUCAAUUGUCAGAGGUGAAAGUCUUGGAUUAAUUGAAGACUAACUACUGCGAAAGCAUUUGCCAAGGAUAUUUUCAUUAAUCAAGAACGAAAGUUAGGGGAUCGAAGACGAUUAGGUACGUCGUAGUCUUAACCAUAAACUAUGCCGACUAGGAAUCAGACAACGUUAAAUUUUUAAUGACUUGUUUGGCACCUUACG
Molecule: ribosomal RNA, 509 nt
Filed under: uncultured Entrophospora
Lineage: Eukaryota; Fungi; Glomeromycota; Glomeromycetes; Entrophosporales; Entrophosporaceae
Description: SSU rRNA
Rfam family: Eukaryotic small subunit ribosomal RNA
Source: RNAcentral